UCUUAACUUAAGUUAUAAAAUCACCAGACAGGAUGCAUGGGCGCUAAAUGCAUUGAGAUGUACAGCCCUACAGUUCUAAUCUUUAAUUUUUCUGUCCAAAAAAAGUUUCUAAAAGUUAAAUAUUUUAUGAAUUUGGAGAUGAUGAGGUUGGUUUGACAUUUACAUUAUGUAGUGCGGUGAGUCCAUCAACCAGGAGAUUUCAAAGGCUAGAUUAAAAAUCAAAUGCCCAAGCAGAAUUGUGACUCUAUGUACAUAUAAAACACAGUUUUGAUAUUGUGGUAUAUCAGUCUGUGUGGGAAGUACAUCUUUUGGUGCCAUUACAUGAUUUGUGCUGGCACACAAUGUUACAAUGUUUCCCGUGGUGGGCGAGGUGACAAAAGAUUUACUAUAAAGAUCUUCUAUAUACAAUAAUUAACAACUAAUUAUGGAAUGAUUUAAAGGGAUUAGUUUUACUACUGGGUUGGAUUGGUAUCAAAGUCCUCAUAGCACUAGGACUAUGCCUGUGCACCAAAACUGUCAUAGAUAAGAACAAAUGAAACCAUUUCAAAAAUAGUUAUUUCAAAAACCUCUAGUAAUCCAUUAGCAGUACGUCAGUCUCUCUUCAGUAACAAAAGAUUCCUCUCUAA
Long non-coding RNA from Etheostoma cragini (Arkansas darter), 626 nucleotides. RefSeq lists it as uncharacterized. The transcript is spliced from 2 exons. Lineage: Eukaryota; Metazoa; Chordata; Actinopteri; Perciformes; Percidae. The record is from RefSeq and is a predicted model, not a curated record.